CCUACGGGUGGCAGCAGUCGAGAAUCAUUCACAAUGGGGGAAACCCUGAUGGCGCGACGCCGCGUGGGGGAAUGAAGGUCUACGGAUUGUAAACCCCUGUCAUGUGGGAGCAAAUUAAAAAGAUAGUACCACAAGAGGAAGAGACGGCUAACUCUGUGCCAGCAGCCGCGGUAAUACAGAGGGCUCAAGCGUUGUUCGGAAUCACUGGGCGUAAAGAGUGCGUAGGCUGUUUCGUAAGUCGUGUGUGAAAGGCGCGGGACCAACCCGCGGACGGCACAUGAUACUGCGAGACUAGAGUAAUGGAGGGGGAACCGGAAUUCUCGGUGUAGCAGUGAAAUGCGUAGAUAUCGGGAGGAACACUCGUGGCGAAGGCGGGUUCCUGGACAUUAACUGACGCUGAGGCACGAAGGCCAGGGGAGCGAAAAGGAUUAGAUACCCGAGUAGUC
This 446-nucleotide ribosomal RNA is filed under the name uncultured bacterium. Its description in RNAcentral is "partial 16S ribosomal RNA". It matches the Rfam family "Bacterial small subunit ribosomal RNA", at positions 338 to 795 of the family's 1533-position model. The record is from RNAcentral.